Molecule: non-coding RNA, 463 nt
Organism: Onychostoma macrolepis
Lineage: Eukaryota; Metazoa; Chordata; Actinopteri; Cypriniformes; Cyprinidae
Source: the annotation of a RefSeq genome assembly
AAAACAAAAGUCUCAGUCAGUGUUUGUGUGCAGCUAAAUAUUUUACUCUACAGUUCACAGUUGCGGUGUGAUGAUGGAGGUGUUACUGCAUUUAGCUCUGCUGUUGAUCAUUUCAUCUGUUAGUGGUCAGUCUUUGACCUCCUCAGAUUCUGUGGUGAAAAAGCCUGGAGACUCAGUGACUCUGUCCUGCACUGUGUCUGGAUUCUCAAUGAGCAGCUACUACAUGGGCUGGAUCCGUCAGAAACCAGGGAAAGCACUGGAGUGGAUUGGAUAUAUAGACACUGGCUCAAGUGCAUAUUAUGCUCAGUCUCUACAGGGCCAGUUCUCCAUCACCAAAGACACCAGCAAAAACAUGCUGUAUUUAGAGGUGAAAAGCCUGAAGACUGAAGACACAGCUGUUUAUUACUGUGCACGAGACUCACAGUUACACAAAGGACUGCAGGACUGAACAAAAACUACUGAU